CACACUUGUUUUCGAUUCCGCUUUAGUAAAUACAACUGAUAAAACGCUUAAGGUAAAUUGGCAAAGUGUUUUAACGUGAAGUCAACGCUGACAUCAGUCUCACAGGUGGGACUGCUGGUUAAGCAAAUGUUAACCACAUUAGAUUAGCGAGCUUGAUUUGAAAACUCUGAAUACACGAAAUCAACUGUGCAACAUAAAGAGAGAGCCGUGCAGAAUUGACUACGAAGAAUGGAGAUGUGUGCAGACCUCGGUGUGCAGGGACGAUCUCGCCGGGCUGGGGAAGCUCUUCGUCUCCGGACGAUGACAGACAGCGUCGCACAAACAAUUCCGGGGAAUCUGUGGCUCCUCUCCCCACAGCUCUUCGCUAUGGGAAGGGGCUGCAGACGAGGCCCAUCUUCACACGGACAGUCUGCCACAGCCACGCGAUCCACCGCACACACUUAACGACUCUGCUCCUAUGGUCCUGUACCACAAGCCGGAUCACUAUCAUGCAGCUUCGUGCACCGGAUUUCACGAGAAUCACA
Molecule: long non-coding RNA, 524 nt
Organism: Syngnathus acus (greater pipefish)
Lineage: Eukaryota; Metazoa; Chordata; Actinopteri; Syngnathiformes; Syngnathidae
Exons: 2
Source: RefSeq, a predicted model, not a curated record